ACUUCCAACCAACCAGGGCCAGGCCAGACGGCUGUUCCCCCUUGGGGCGCCUCCUCCGCUCGCUCCGGCACAGCCCCCCUCCUUCGACCUUCUCUCCGGCUCAGCCGCGCGCGGCCCCAAAUUUCAGAGCGCGGCCGCUGGGAGCUACACAGCGGAGCAAGACGCUCCCCCCUUUCUCGGCCGAUUGCCGUUGGUUGGGACCCGGUUCAGGGCGGCUGCCUCCUCCACCGGAGCACCGCCGUCUCCUCCGGCGUCAUCCACCCGCGGAGAUCGCCGCCGCCAUCGACCGCGUUUCCGCGGACGCCGCCUGCAGGGUUCGGCAAGGCUGAAAACUUCGAUAUAUCGUCCCUUGAAAGAAAAGGUCUUCGUCCUCGGUGAAUCCUAAAGAAGAGAUAAAGAGUGGUGAUGCAUUCAAGAACGUGCUACAAAAAAGCCGCGAUGAAGGUUAAGAAGAAAAACAAACACCCGGCUGGUGGCCGCGAGGAGGGAAGGCAGAUCAGCAUAUUGCGCACAAGUAGGCAAAGCAGAAUUGAGACAUUGCGCAAAAAGCCCAGCCCAGGGCUGCGCUGCGCAAGCAGGCACUUGCUACUGAAACCUACAAGGAAGAGCGACAGACAUUAGAUUCUUAUCACCAGCUACACAAGAAAGAAGCCAGGUUUGGGAAUAAUAGAACUUAAGACACGUCCUGAACUGCAAAGGCCAAGGAAUCGGAACAAUCAGGACAGGUUGCAAUUUAUGACGGCAAGUGGAGUAUAAUCUACUAAAAUGACACAAUUUGGAGAGGAAGAUUUGUGAAGACGAUCAGAAGAAGCAGGGAGAACAAUACACUAAGACGACAAGUUGGCUAUGCCAGGCAAUUACAACUGAAAUCUGCUAAAAGAACGCCGAACAAGUAAUCCAGGACAUUCGGCAUCCAUAUAAGAACACAGGUUCGAUCGAAGAUCAAGGGAAGUGAGCUCCAUCACCACGUUCACGCUCAAGAUUGAUGGUUACACUGAAGAGCAAAUGGACUAAUGAUAUUGCAUACAGAAUUAGCUCAGCACAGCCACAGGAUCACGCUCGCUGGUGAAUAGGUAUGGGCUCAGCGGGUUUGUUCUCGACAUUUCUUCUCUCUUGAAACUUGGCACAACAAAGCAGGAUAGAAUAGAUGGGUUUAUAAUGAAGAUUGAAGAGGCAAUGAAGACAGUGUGAUGUUCGAUGUGUUCUAGCAGUUUUCUGGGGUUACACACCAUACCUCUAAUGCUAGCGAACUGUUGUUUCGCUCCAUUGCCACUGAUAUAUUCUGAACUGAAACAUGGAUAAUUUCAGAUGUAUGAUUACAAAUGGAUUCUCUGGUUAAAAUAAUUCAUAAACAAAAGGCGCCUCUAA
Hordeum vulgare subsp. vulgare (domesticated barley) is the source of this 1368-nucleotide long non-coding RNA. RefSeq lists it as uncharacterized. Lineage: Eukaryota; Viridiplantae; Streptophyta; Magnoliopsida; Poales; Poaceae. The transcript is spliced from 2 exons. The record is from RefSeq and is a predicted model, not a curated record.